GACGUCAUGCAUCACGUGUGUAUUUUUUCAAAGCCAUGCACCCGAGGUUAGAGUUCAGUAAAUACUGAUGAUGUCAUCGUCUGAAGAUGGCUGAAGGAGAAGGCUGGUGGGGAGGCUGGCUUCAGCAGAGCUUCCAGGCCGUCAAAGAAAAGUCAUCUGAGGCCUUGGAAUUCCUAAAGCGAGACCUGACAGAGUUCUCCACUGUGGUGCAACAUGACACAACCUGCUCACUCGUGGCAACAGCGACUGCUGUCAGAAAUAAACUUGCAGUGGAAGGUUCCUCUGAGACUACAGAAAAGGUGAAGAAGAGCCUCUCUAGUUUCUUAGGGGUCAUCUCAGACACACUUGCUCCACCCCCGGAUAAAACCAUUGACUGUGAUGUAAUCACACUGGUGGCAACGGCAGCAGGAACUACAGAGGUUUAUGACAGUUCUAAGGCACGUCUCUACAGUUUGCAAGCUGACCCUGCUACAUACUGCAAUGAACCUGAUGGUCCCCCAGAGCAGUUUGACAACUGGCUGUCCACCUUCAGUUUGGAAGAUAAAAAGGGAGAAAUCUCAGAGCUUUUGGUCGACAGUCCCUCUAUACGUGCCCUUUAUACCAAAAUGGUGCCAGCAGCUGUGGCCCAUUCAGAAUUCUGGCAGAGGUAUUUCUACAAAGUCUUCCAGUUGGACCAGGAGGAGGCGAGGAGAGUGGCAUUGAAGCAGAGGGCUGAACAGACUACACACACAGAGACCCUGGGCUGGGAGGAGGAGGAGGAGGAUGACUUCCUCGGCACCACGUCAUCAUCUCAACUCAACUUUACUCCCCCGUUGGACAGCCGCUCAACGCAGCUGCCCACGACCUCAACGACUCCAACAGGAAUGACUCUGCUGAGCCCCGUCCUGUCUCCCAGCGAAGAGCGUGACCCCACCCUCUCAUUCAGCAGCGACAGCGUCAGCCUGCCGACACAGGUAGAAGUGCAACCAGAGCCUGUUGCCACUGAGCUGGCCGAGAGAAUGACAGAAGCUAGCUUGGAAGAUGUAGAUAAGGCACAAGAAGAGCAGAGGCUGCGAAAGAGUGACUUACCUCUUGAGGCUCAAUUGGAAGUAACUCAGCCAGAGGUCACUGUUGAUGGGGUGUCCGUGCGGGCUUCGGCCCCCACCACUAAGCCAGAAGCAGCAAAGGAGGACGGCCCGCAGGACCUGAGAGUGUUCGAGCUAAAUUCUGACAGCGGGAAAUCUACGCCCUCUAACAAUGGCAAAAAACAGGGUCCAGCACCGAUGUGAGUGAGGACUGGGAGAAAGACUUUGACCUGGACAUGACCGAAGAAGAAGUCCAACUGGCACUCUCUAAAAUAGAAGCCUCUGGAGAGAUUGAUGAAGACUGGGAGAACUGGGACUGAGAGCCACUGCGACAUGAACUCUGUCCCGCCAUUAAAGCUAGUUCUCGGCAGACGAACCAUGCUUAACGUGUUUUAACUCUUUGUCCACACUGUCACCAUGUCAUGAUUGUCAGUAGGGGAUUUUCCGCCUGGUUUGGACCAUAUUGGUAAACCUGUUGAAAAGCGCAACGGGAAGACCAAGGCAAUAAGAAUUAGACUGCUCCGUCAGCUGUCAGUUUAGUGCAGAUUGGCCGCUAGUGAGGGUAAUGAGUCAGGUCUUGGCUAUUUCUAGGAGUAAUUUGUGACUUGGAGAGCAUAUGACACUAGUAACAGACAGAGGUUGUAAUCAUUCUGACCUUAAAGCUUAAUGAUGCGCAGUGACAAGUCAGAACGUGAAAGGUUUCACUGCAGCAGGGGAGGAGCUGUUUUUCCUUUUAUGCCAUUAAAUUCAUCAUCUAUGUUGCGAGUGUAUUUCAAGUUGACCAACGACAUAACUGCAGGCUGCAAAAUAGCCAUAAACUAAUGCUGCUUGUCACCUUCCUAAGAUGAAGUACUCCGCAAGUGAUUUUUGAAUGGUGAUGAUCAAUUUAUUUAAUUCUGCCUGUGCCCCUUGCUUUCUUUCUCAUCUUUAUUAUGCAAGUGGAUCUUCAAAUGGAGAGGGGAAAAACAUUCUGGCCUUCAUUCAUAGAGCAUUUUUCAUUUUGGAUUCACUCCCAACUCUAGAUGUAUGGCCUUGUAAAACACACAGUAGUGUGAUAAUGUUAUCCAAAUGUCUUUGUUACAAGUCAGUCACCUGAACCACAACCAGCUAAUGUCUCAACAUUAGACAUUUCCCCACUCUCUGUCAUGUCAUGUGAUUCAUUUGAAUAUAUGAGCUUGUUGCAGGCUACGUGUAACUUUCUGUCACCUUUAAGCAUUUCACUUCUUUGAGUUGCUUAUCCGUUUGUCUUAUUCGGGUAGAGGGAAUUCAUUAAUUAUCACUCAUUAGUCAUAAUGAUAAAAGUCAUAUCUGACUUAAAGAGAAUUCAAACUGGUCCUGGAUACUGGAUUCUUUGGCUUGAAACUGAAGGUAGCGUCUGUUGUUAUUUACUUGUAGAGGGGAAUAUGACAACUCUGUGAAGCUUUAAGUUUCUGUCGCGGCCCAUGUUUGGAACAAAAUAGCUCAGCAGGCCGUGUACCAAGUAGACCAAGGAGCAAGAUGAGCACGCUCCAUGCUUCCCUGAUUUCCUUUUCCAUCACCUGUAAUGUAACUGAGAAAAAUAAUCCUAGAGAGGUAAUAUUUAUACUAAAAUAAAUGCUUAAUUAUUGUAUCAUGUGCUUUGGAUUGCAUGUAUGUGCAAUAACAUGCAAAACACUGUGCAGAUGUUUUCUGUUUCUGAGUUGUAUGUUUUUCAGUAAAGACAUUGGCUGUUCAGGUUUUUGUGUUCAGACAAUGUGUUGCAUGUUUGUAAUUCUCAGCUGUGUAUUCCCUUAACCUUCACACUUUGAACUAAUUGAGCAAAGUUGUUCUACACACAUCUGAUUCAAAGCUGUCAAGUUCUUUUUUUUUGUUUUUUUGUUUUUUUUUAAGUCAAGUAUUUCACUAUAUUUUUCAAAUGAUCAUUGUCAUUAAAGGAUUCAUGGCAAA
Molecule: RNA transcript, 2990 nt
Organism: Micropterus dolomieu (smallmouth bass)
Lineage: Eukaryota; Metazoa; Chordata; Actinopteri; Centrarchiformes; Centrarchidae
Gene: bsdc1
Gene name: BSD domain containing 1
Exons: 11
Source: RefSeq, a predicted model, not a curated record